CAGUGAUUUCAGCUCUUUUAGUAUUUGUCUAGUAGGUUUCCUGCGGCGCGGGAAGCCUUA
Molecule: small nuclear RNA, 60 nt
Organism: Apteryx haastii (Great spotted kiwi)
Lineage: Eukaryota; Metazoa; Chordata; Aves; Apterygiformes; Apterygidae
Gene: U7
Rfam family: U7 small nuclear RNA
About the family: Animal histone pre-mRNAs are spliced by a different mechanism than nuclear pre-mRNAs and self-splicing introns. This processing involves the U7 snRNP, which contains only one RNA species: U7.
Source: Ensembl